This 914-nucleotide ribosomal RNA is filed under the name uncultured archaeon. Its description in RNAcentral is "bacterial SSU rRNA". It matches the Rfam family "Archaeal small subunit ribosomal RNA", at positions 1 to 922 of the family's 1478-position model. The record is from RNAcentral.
UUCCGGUUGAUCCUGCCGGACCUGACUGCUAUCGGAUUGAUACUAAGCCAUGCGAGUCAUUGUAGCAAUACAAGGCAGACGGCUCAGUAACGCGUAGUCAACCUACCAUAUGGACGGGAAUAACCCCGGGAAACUGAGUAUAAUGCCCGAUAGAACACUAUACCUGGAAUGGUUUGUGUUUCAAAUGAUUUAUCGCCAUAGGAUGGGACUGCGGCCUAUCAGUUUGUUGGUGAGGUAAUGGCCCACCAAGACUAUUACAGGUACGGGCUCUGAGAGGAGUGGCCCGGAGAUGGGUACUGAGACACGGACCCAGGCCCUAUGGGGCGCAGCAGGCGAGAAAACUUUGCAAUGUGCGAAAGCACGACAAGGUUAAUCCGAGUGGUUUGUGCUAAACGAACCUUUUGUCAGUCCUAGAAACACUAACGAAUAAGGGGUGGGCAAGUUCUGGUGUCAGCCGCCGCGGUAAAACCAGCACCUCAAGUGGUCAGGAUGAUUAUUGGGCCUAAAGCAUCCGUAGCCGGCUCUGUAAGUUUUCGGUUAAAUCUGUACGCUUAACGUACAGGCUGCCGGGAAUACUGCAGAGCUAGGGAGUGGGAGAGGUAGACGGUACUCGGUAGGAAGGGGUAAAAUCCUUUGAUCUAUCGAUGACCACCUGUGGCGAAGGCGGUCUACCAGAACACGUCCGACGGUGAGGGAUGAAAGCUGGGGGAGCAAACCGGAUUAGAUACCCGGGUAGUCCCAGCUGUAAACUAUGCAAACUCAGUGAUGCAUUGACUUGUGGUCAAUGCAGUGCUGCAGGGAAGCCGUUAAGUUUGCCGCCUGGGAAGUACGUACGCAAGUAUGAAACUUAAAGGAAUUGGCGGGGGAGCACCACAAGGGGUGAAGCCUGCGGUUCAAUUGGAUUCAACGCCGGG